RNAcentral lists this ribosomal RNA (20 nucleotides) under Cryptosporiopsis sp. ZJWCF069. Its description in RNAcentral is "partial 18S ribosomal RNA". Lineage: Eukaryota; Fungi; Ascomycota; Leotiomycetes; Helotiales; Dermateaceae. The record is from RNAcentral.
UACCUGCGGAGGGAUCAUUA